RNAcentral lists this ribosomal RNA (433 nucleotides) under uncultured bacterium. RNAcentral's name for it is "partial 16S ribosomal RNA". It matches the Rfam family "Bacterial small subunit ribosomal RNA", at positions 29 to 507 of the family's 1533-position model. The record is from RNAcentral.
AACGAACGCUGGCGGCAUGCCUAACACAUGCAAGUCGAACGAGACCUUCGGGUCUAGUGGCGCACGGGUGCGUAACGCGUGGGAACCUGCCCUUAGGUUCGGAAUAACUCCCCGAAAGGGGUGCUAAUACCGGAUAAUGUCUUCGGACCAAAGAUUUAUCGCCUUUGGAUGGGCCCGCGUUUGAUUAGCUAGUUGGUAGGGUAAAAGCCUACCAAGGCGACGAUCCAUAGCUGGUCUGAGAGGAUGAUCAGCCACACUGGGACUGAGACACGGCCCAGACUCCUACGGGAGGCAGCAGUGGGGAAUAUUGGACAAUGGGCGAAAGCCUGAUCCAGCCAUGCCGCGUGAGUGAUGAAGGCCUUAGGGUUGUAAAGCUCUUUUACCCGGGAUGAUAAUGACAGUAACGGGAGAAUAAGCUCCGGCUAACUCCGUG